Molecule: non-coding RNA, 415 nt
Organism: Cinara cedri
Lineage: Eukaryota; Metazoa; Arthropoda; Insecta; Hemiptera; Aphididae
Source: the annotation of a GenBank genome assembly
UACAAUAUUAUUAUCCUUCUUAUAACUAAUAUGGGUUAGGAAUUUACGUUUCGAUAACAAAAUGUAAAAUUAAUAAUUUUGUGAUAAUAUAGUAAUCAACAAAACCAAAAUCGUUUGGUACAGGUAUGCAAAGUACCUUAAGUUUACAUAGUGGAUAGCCAAAAUCGAUAAAUUGUAAUAUGCGUACUUAAAUGUCAUGAAAAGAUACCUUAAUAUACACUUAAUACCACUACAUAGGAAUUGUACACAUUUCCUCAUUAUCUAUUUAUACGAUCCGGCGAUUUUCACGGAAGAUUUUGAACGAACUUGAUUUAUAUUUUAUAAUUUUCAUCGUGAUAAAUAUGAUCGCGCAUUCUGUAUGAUGUUUCAUAUUAGAAAAUAUUAUGUAUAAUAUUAAUUGUGCUUGAUCUUAGGC